Molecule: ribosomal RNA, 515 nt
Filed under: uncultured bacterium
Lineage: Bacteria
Description: bacterial LSU rRNA
Rfam family: Bacterial large subunit ribosomal RNA
Source: RNAcentral
CAAACUCCGAAUACCGUAGUAUUAUGCUCGGGAGUCAGACUGCGAGAGAUAAGUUCCGUGGUCAAAAGGGCAACAGCCCAGACCCACAGCUAAGGUCCCAAAAUGUAAGUUAAGUGGAAAAGGAUGUGAAGCUGCAUAGACAACUAGGAUGUUGGCUUAGAAGCAGCCACUCAUUUAAAGAGUGCGUAAUAGCUCACUAGUCGAGUGACUUCGCGCCGAAGAUAAACGGGGCUUAAACUUACUACCGAAGCUUGGGAAUAUUUAACGAUAUUGGUAGAGGAGCAUCGUAUGCGGGCAGAAGGUGAACUGUAAGGUAAGCUGGACUGCAUACGAGAGAGAAUGUUGGCAUGAGUAGCGUAAGCAGGGUGAGAAUCCCCUGCCGCCGAAAAAUCUAAGGUUUCCUGAGGAAGGUUCGUCCGCUCAGGGUUAGUCGGGGCCUAAGCCGAGGGCGAAAGCCGUAGGCGAUGGACAACUGGUUGAGAUUCCAGUACCACCGAAAGUCGUUUGAUCGAUGU